AACAGUCAGUAACAGGAAGAACAGUCAGUAACAGGGAGGGACAGGAAGAACAGUCAGUAACAGGGAGGGACAGGAACAACAGUCAGUAACAGGAAGAACAGUCAGUAACAGUCAGUAACAAGAAUAACAGUCAGUAACAGGGAGGGACAGGAACAACAGUCAGUAAAAGGGAGGGACAGGAAGAACAGUCAGUAACCGGAAGAACAGUCAGUAACAGGAAGAGCAGUCAGUAACAGGGAGGGACAGGAACAACAGUCAGUAACAGGAAGAGCAGUCAGUAACAGGGAGGGACAGGAACAACAGUCAGUAACAGGGAGGGACAGGAACAACAGUCAGUAACAGGAAGAACAGUCAGUAACAGGGAGGGACAAGAAUAACAGUCAGUAACAGGGAGGGACAGGAACAACAGUCAGUAACAGGAAGAACAGUCAGUAACAGUCAGUAACAAGAAUAACAGUCAGUAACAGGGAUGGACAGGAAGAACAGUCAGUAACAGGAAGAACAGUCAGUAACAGGGAGGGACAGGAACAACAGUCAGUAAAAGGGAGGGACAGGAAGAACAGUCAGUAACCGGAAGAACAGUCAGUAACAGGAAGAGCAGUCAGUAACAGGGAGGGACAGGAACAACAGUCAGUAACAGUCAGUAACAGGAACAACAGUCAGUAACAGGAACAGUCAGUAACAGUCAGUAACAGGAAGAACAGUAAGUAACAGGGAGGGACAGGAACAACAGUCAGUAACAGUCAGUAACAGGAAGAACAGUCAGAAACAGGGAGGGACAGGAACAACAGUCAGUAACAGGGAGGGACAGGAACAACAGUCAGUAACAGUCAGUAACAGGAAGAGCAGUCAGUAACAGGGAGGGACAGGAACAACAGUCAGUAACAGGGAGGGACAAGAAGAACAGUCAGGAACAGGAAGAACAGUCAGUAACAGGGAGGGACAGGAACAACAGUCAGUAACAGGGAGGGACAGGAACAACAGUCAGUAACAGGAAGAACAGUCAGUAACAGGGAGGGACAGGAACAACAGUCAGUAACAGGAAGAACAGUCAGUAACAGGGAGGGACAGGAAGAACAGUCAGUAACCGGAAGAACAGUCAGUAACAGGGAGGGACAGGAACAACAGUCAGUAAAAGGGAGGGACAGGAAGAACAGUCAGUAACCGGAAGAACAGUCAGUAACAGGAAGAAGUCAGUAACAGGAAGAGCAGUCAGUAACAGGGAGGGACAGGAACAACAGUCAGUAACAGGAAGAGCAGUCAGUAACAGGGAGGGACAGGAACAACAGUCAGUAACAGGGAGGGACAGGAACAACAGUCAGUAACAGUCAGUAACAGGAAGAACAGUAAGUAACAGGGAGGGACAGGAACAACAGUCAGUAACAGGAACAACAGUCAGUAACAGGGAGGGACAAGAAGAACAGUCAGGAACAGGGAGGGACAGGAACAACAGUCAGUAACAGUCAGUAACAGGAAGAACAGUCAGUAACAGGGAGGGACAGGAACAACAGUCAGUAACAGGGAUGGACAGGAAGAACAGUCAGUAACAGGAAGAACAGUCAGUAACAGGGAUGGACAGGAAGAACAGUCAGUAACAGGAAGAACAGUCAGUAACAGGGAGGGACAGGAAGAAUAGUCAGUAACAGGGAGGGACAGGAAGAAUAGUCAGUAACAGGAAGAACAGUCAGUAACAAGAAUAACAGUCAGUAACAGGGAGGGACAGGAAGAACAGUCAGUAACAGGGAGGGACAGGAACAACAGUCAGUAACAGGGAUGGACAGGAAGAACAGUCAGUAACAGGAAGAACA
Molecule: long non-coding RNA, 1808 nt
Organism: Oncorhynchus tshawytscha (Chinook salmon)
Lineage: Eukaryota; Metazoa; Chordata; Actinopteri; Salmoniformes; Salmonidae
Source: Ensembl